GGCGGACGGGUGAGUAACGCGUAAAGAACUUGCCCUUUAGACUGGGAUAACAGAGGGAAACUUCUGAUAAUACUGGAUAAGUUAGUAUAUCGCAUGAUAUGCAAAUGAAAGCUACGGCACUAAAGGAGAGCUUUGCGUCCUAUUAGCUAGUUGGUAAGGUAAGAGCUUACCAAGGCGAUGAUAGGUAGCCGGCCUGAGAGGGUGGACGGCCACAAGGGGACUGAGAUACGGCCCUUACUCCUACGGGAGGCAGCAGUG
Molecule: ribosomal RNA, 258 nt
Filed under: uncultured Leptotrichia sp.
Lineage: Bacteria; Fusobacteriati; Fusobacteriota; Fusobacteriia; Fusobacteriales; Leptotrichiaceae
Description: partial 16S ribosomal RNA
Rfam family: Bacterial small subunit ribosomal RNA
Source: RNAcentral